GAUGAACGCUGGCGGCGUGCCUAAUACAUGCAAGUCGAGCGAACGGACGAGAAGUUUGCUUCUCUGAUGUUAGCGGCGGACGGGUGAGUAACACGUGGAUAACCUACCUAUAAGACUGGGAUAACUUCGGGAAACCUGAGCUAAUACCGGAUAAUAUUUUGAACCGCAUGGUUCAAAAGUGAAAGACGGUCUUGCUGUCACUUAUAGAUGGUUCCGCGCUGCAUUAGCUAGUUGGUACGGUAACGGCUUACCAAGGCGACGAUGCAUAGCCGAGCUGAGAGGAUGAUCGGCCACACUGGAACUGAGACACGGUCCAGACUCCUACGGGAGGCAGCAGUAGGGAAUCUUCCGCAAUGGGCGAAAGCCUGACGGAGCAACGCCGCGUGAGUGAUGAAGGUCUUCGGAUCGUAAAGCUCUGUUAUUAGGGAGGAACAUAUGUGUAAGUAAAUGUGCACAUCUUGACGGUACCUAAUCAAAAAGCCACGGCUAACUACGUG
Molecule: ribosomal RNA, 497 nt
Filed under: uncultured bacterium
Lineage: Bacteria
Description: partial 16S ribosomal RNA
Rfam family: Bacterial small subunit ribosomal RNA
Source: RNAcentral